RNAcentral lists this ribosomal RNA (253 nucleotides) under uncultured bacterium. RNAcentral describes it as "partial 16S ribosomal RNA". It matches the Rfam family "Bacterial small subunit ribosomal RNA", at positions 524 to 776 of the family's 1533-position model. The record is from RNAcentral.
UACGUAGGGGGCAAGCGUUGUCCGGAUUUAUUGGGCGUAAAGAGCGUGUAGGCGGUCAGGUAGGUCCGUUGUGAAAACUCGAGGCUCAACCCCGAGACGCCGAUGGAAACCAUCUGACUAGAGUCCGGAAGAGGAGAGUGGAAUUCCUGGUGUAGCGGUGAAAUGCGCAGAUAUCAGGAAGAACACCCGUGGCUAAGGCGGCUCUCUGGGACGGUACUGACGCUGAGACGCGAAAGCGUGGGGAGCGAACAGG